Molecule: long non-coding RNA, 1875 nt
Organism: Engraulis encrasicolus (European anchovy)
Lineage: Eukaryota; Metazoa; Chordata; Actinopteri; Clupeiformes; Engraulidae
Exons: 5
Source: RefSeq, a predicted model, not a curated record
UUGGCUAAUGAUUUUUAGCUUCAAGGCAAGAUAACAGGCUGCCCUUCGUAAGUUUGUUUCAGAUGUUGUGUGUGUAUUUGUCAUAAUGUACAGUAAUAAGUUAUGGACAGACAUACAGUAGUUUCUUCCUGUGCUGCGUUGUGCACGUCUGUUUCAUCAUCUGAGCUAUCAGUUGUGUUUCUUUGAAGCAAAGAUGUAUAGAAUAGCACUGAAAGUCGGAGGUGUCAUAUUUGUUCAACCUGGUGUUAAACGUAAUUUCAAUUCUUGACCAGUGCAUGUAAAGAAAUUGUAAAUAAAACCGACUUGAUGUAGUAGUGCUAAAAAUAAACCUUUAUAUUUUCUCUUAGUGAACUUCUCAAAAUAUAUGGGCUACAAUGUAGAUACUACUUGGGAUGGGUUUAUCGUUACCUAUUGUUUCUGAUGGGGCGUUAAUUGGUGUGGCACCCGGAACUCUUCCUCACUUCGGGGAGAUUGGCAAGGGGAAUGCCGUUCGCUUCGACCCCUUGCAGUGUGCCUCAUUGUGUCCGCCCUGUCAGGUAUGUGUUAAUGUAUGAAAGAGAUCCCUGUGGUAUUUUCGGUGAUAAACAUUGUAUUUUCUUUUGGUUUUAACUUUGUAAACUAUACGAUCUAAGUGCCUUGGUUCCAAGACUAUUUACUCUCAAAAUCUCUGUUUUCAUCACACUUCUGAUGUUGCCGAUUUGAAUGUCUACGAAGACUGUGUUAUGAAGAAAUAUAUAUUUCCAUUUUUGUCAUGUACACUUGUUCUAUUGUAGCCUAUCUGUCUAGGUCAACGGAGCGAUUUUCCUCCAGUGGAAGAGGCUGUAGCGUAGGCAGUGGUAUAGUCUACGUUUUGAUGGUGGGUAUACUGUAUUUUUGAGCAAUUCUUUUAGGUGGUUAUGGGUAAUAUUGAAUCAAUCAAUUUUAGGCGGGUAUACUGAAAUCCCUGACAUUUUCAGAUAGGCUAUUCUACUGCUCUAGUCCUGGUCUCAUAGACAGGCCUGGCCUCUCGCCUUUAUCCCUGCCCUCCAUCUCUUAGGGAGCUGGAUGUGUCAGAGUCUCAGCAGGAUUAAGUUUAAGACCAGUUUAGACCGAUCAGCUUCAGAGACACGCUGUCCUCUGUUUCCUCUCUCUCCUAUUUUCACUUUCUCGGUCCCCACUCUCUAUCUCUCUUUUUUUUUUUUCUUUCUCCUUCUCUGUAAGUCCUGCCUCCUAAUGUGCCAUAUAACCUGUAUCUCGCCUAUUGUGUGUGUGUGUGUGUUUGUGAAUGUGUUCACGCAGAUAUAAGAAGUUGGGGUUGGGGUUGGGGUUGAUGAUCCACAUGAUGGUGAUGGACCAGGACAGCUCUGGACCUCCUGACUGGCAGCUCCAUCCUCAACCUCCCUUCCUGUCCUUCACACAUGUGCAGGCAGAGAGGCAGUUUUCUGAAGGAUGGUUAAUGUCAGUACCAACAUGUUGUGAUGGAGGCUUCCACCUGAACUGAACACAGAAACUUGCACACAGUGAUGGAAGCAGUCGUUCCUGUUCAGCAUUGAUAUGCCGGUAAUGGGUUUGAUGAACCACAGCAUGGUGAUGGGCAAUCAGCAUCAGGACCAGGGCCGCUCACAAGGAGAACCUCCUGCCUUGCCUCUUCAUCCUCAACCUCCAAUCUUCCUGCUCUUCACACAUGUGCAGGCACAGAGCCAGUUUUCAGAGGGAGGGCUGAUGACACCAGCAACUUCGGAUCUGAACCUGAUCAACCCAGCACCAACCACUGUGCCGCUCCUCCUCUGCCAACUGCACCACAUGGCUCCACCAUCUCAAAAAGGCACAGACACUACUCCACUUCCUGCGAAGGAUGAGAGAAGAGCCGACCUCCCCACAACGGCACUCACCACC